GACAAACGCUGGCGGCGUGCUUAACACAUGCAAGUCGAGCGGAGCGGCGAACGGGUGAGUAACGCGUGAGUAACUGCCCCCCUCUCUGGGAUCACAGUUGGAAACGGCUGCUAAUACCGGAUAGUGGGGGAUGACUCGCGUCCUAUCAGCUUGUUGGUGUGGUAGUGGCCUACCAAGGCGACGACGGGUAGCCGGCCUGAGAGGGCGACCGGCCACAUGGGGCUGAGAUACGGCCCAAAAGCUGACGGGAGGCAGCGGUGGGGAAUAUUGCAGAAGGGGGGAAACCCAGAUGCAGCAACGCGCGUGCGGGAUGACGGCCUGCGGGUUGAAAACCGCUAUGAGCCAUGACGCGGUAGUGGCAGAAGAAGCACCGGCUAACUACGUGCCAGCAGCCGCGGUAAUUC
Molecule: ribosomal RNA, 404 nt
Filed under: uncultured bacterium
Lineage: Bacteria
Description: partial 16S ribosomal RNA
Rfam family: Bacterial small subunit ribosomal RNA
Source: RNAcentral